This 269-nucleotide ribosomal RNA is filed under the name uncultured prokaryote. RNAcentral describes it as "partial 16S ribosomal RNA". It matches the Rfam family "Bacterial small subunit ribosomal RNA", at positions 524 to 792 of the family's 1533-position model. The record is from RNAcentral.
UACGGAGGAUGCGAGCGUUAUCCGGAUUUAUUGGGUUUAAAGGGUGCGCAGGCGGGAGAUUAAGUCGGCGGUGAAAUUUUGCAGCUCAACUGUAAAAGUGCCUUCGAAACUGGUUUCCUUGAGUGUAGAUGAAGUAGGCGGAAUUUGUGGUGUAGCGGUGAAAUGCAUAGAUAUCACGAGGAACUCCGAUUGCGCAGGCAGCUUACUAAACCAUAACUGACGCUCAGGCACGAAGGCGUGGGGAUCAAACAGGAUUAGAUACCCUGGUA